UAAGGAUCGGGGUAAGGUCUAUCUACCAAUGCUAGCUUUUAAUUAUAGAAUAAGGCUGUGAUGAUGACAUAUGAGGUUGUAUAGAUCUUCCACUUUUCUUAUUUGUAUUACUGUCUGCUCUGUUUAUAAACUAUGAGGAUGUGGAAGUUUUGCCUUUUGUGGAAGUUCAAUAAAACUUGUUUUCUCUCGAGCUGAUUGAACUGUUGCUUGGCACUGCAUCUCAGAUAGAACUACGAGAUUUUAGAAUUAAAUUUCUAUUUCAUGGUGUUUCUUCACCAUCUCAUUCGGCUAACUAAUGCUUGAAGCCUCUACGGAUUUCAAUGCUUUUGAGCUUAUUGUAUUUUUGCUUCAUGAAGUUUUUUUUUUCAUUAAACCACCCUUUUGGUGAAACUACACAUCACCUUCCAUUUUUAUGUUUUAGUUCCCUCUCCGGGGUAACUAAAACUGCAAUCAAACAUUUUCUCGCUUGAGCUGAAAAACUAUUACUUGGCAUGGCAUCUCAUGUGGGUAUGUGAGAUUUUGGAGAAAGUUCCGUUUCAUGGUAUUUUUUCUCUGUCCCACAAGGGCAACUAAUGCUUGAAGCCAUUCCAGGUUUAUAAGCUUCAAGGGUAACUUAUGCGGCCAAUACUUGGGUCGGGCAUUGGAGCUACCCUUAUCUUUGCGAGGCCACCCUGUAAGGCAUCUCCAUUUUGCAACUGAGGUCUGCAGCCAUGCCGGUUGCUUUGUCUUCUUUUGGCUAGUUUUAUAACGAAUUUGAGCCUUAGGAGAAAGAAUUGGCCUAAUGACGCUUGACGUCUUGUGAAUUCCCUUGUGUUAGGUCAGCCUAUAAAGGCAAAAAUGAGGCAGCAGAGACUAUGGUAUUUCUUAUCAAGGUCCUAUCUUGAAAAAUCAGGACAAGAAUCUAUCUUGAUUCUGAGCAAGAAUUGGUAUAUUCAUUUUGAUAGUAGUUCAUGCCUGAAAUAGCAAUUGCUACUCAACUAUGCUGAUCAAAUUCUAAAUUGGGGUUGGGGGAUCUGCAAUAAUCAUUCUCAAGCUGCAAGAUCAUUUACCAGGUUCUGUGAAUUUUGUGUGUUAAUCUAACUGCUGUGGAUCUGUUAGAAUUUAUUCAACAGUUCUCUGAAGAAUGUAUUUGCAACCCACAUCUUGCUGAUACAGAUGGAUCAUCAAUAGUGCCCCUAUUAGUGAAUAAACAAGACUUGCGGUUGUGAUUGGGAGCAUUAAGCGAAUGCCUCCGGCUAUUUGGAGCUUAACACAGUUUCCACCAGGCAUGUGUUGCUAUAGGCAUUGGGACCUGCUAUGUUAAGGUGGAUGGCAAUGGAUCAUCUCAAGUUGCACUUUCUUUUGAAGAAUUAUCUGAUUCUGAAGUUGUACUUUCUUUCGAAGGAUCAUCUCAAGUUGCACUUUCUUUUGAAGAAUCAUCUGAUGUUUAUUUCUUUUGAUGGAUCAUCUGAAGCUGCACUUUCUUUUGAAGGAUCACCUGAAGUUGUACUUUCUUGUUGGGCAACUUCUCGAGUCCCCACAAAGGACAGGGUAAGGAUCCACCAAUGUUUAGCUUUUAGUUAUAGGAUAAGGCUGUGAUGAUGACAAAUGAAGUUGUAUAUGGUUGGGUCUAGCAUUGGAGCUCCCCUUAUCUUGGGGAGGCAACCCGUUAAGGCAUCUCCGUUUUGCAGCUGAGGUCUGCAGCCAUUGCACUUGUUUUGUCUCCUUUUGCCUGGUUAAAUCUGAGCCUUAGGAGAAAGAAUUAACUGAAAGACACUUGAAGUCUUGUGAAUAUCCUUCUGUUAGGUUAGCCUAAAAAGGCAAGAAUGAGGCAGCAGAGAGCAUGGUAUUUCUAUCAAGGGUGGUUUCCUUCUCUUUAAACUUUUCCUAUGAGUACAUUUUUUAAAACAAAUCAACAGCUCUUAAAAAUGAAAGAGAAACAGAGAAUACACUUGAGUUUCUUUGCAUUUUUGCAUUCUUAGACGUAUGCUCAUAAGGCAAUACACACAACUAUACUACAACAGCUUGACUCUGAAAAUUAUUAAAGAGGCAGUGAUGAUUUUUGGGCUAACUAAAUUCGGGCAUUGAGAUUACUCAACCUUUAUCAUUGCGGGGAAACCUGGUAUGGACUGUAAUUGAGACGCAUAAAUCACACAUGCAAUCAUGUAUUGCUGCCAUGGCGUGGUAUGCUUCUCUUUGGCCUUACAUAACACAAAUCUGAGCCUCAAUUUGCUAAAGAGAAGGGAAAAGGGUCAAAUUUACCUCUUUUUAUGCACAAGGGGAAAUAUCAAUUCCAUGAUUAAUGUUGGAGAUAUUGAACCCAGGCACGUCCUUCUGAUUAGCAAUUUUGAUGCUUUUCAUUCGUAAUGUGUCGUCAUCUUUUGAUAAGUACCAGCUCAAGAAUGAGGCAUUCGAACGAAAUGUUGGAUUAUUGAGGGGUGGUUGCCUCCCUCCUCUUGUAAACCCUAAUUCUAUUUUUGAAGUUUUGCAUUUCUAUGCAUCUUUUAUAGCUUCAACGUUUAGAUUCCUCCCACUGAUGGAUAUAUGUCUGCUAAAUGUGGAAAAAACACAUGACAAUCACUUCUUCUCAGGCUGGUUAUUCCAUUUUUAGGUAUCAAUAGCAUUGUUUAUAUCAGUUCUGUGUUCCAUCUUGUUGAAACCAAGAAGGAUUUUUGAGGGUUUAACCCUUUGAAGUGUCAUUGUUGUGUAUUGUCUCUUAAGGUCCAUUUUAUGUUUUAUUUGGGUUGAUUAUAGCCAGUGAAUUAUGAAUUGUAACUUUAAGGGAAGAUCUUUUUUGUUCAAACAUUCAAAUGAGAGGCUCUAAUACUAUUUUUGACGUUUCUUUGUUGGAAAUUGUUACUAAUACUCAUUGGAGGCCAAACGGACAUUGUAAGAUUUUGAAGGUUAAAUUUCUUUGGGUUUUAGUUGGUAGUAUUCAUUAAGAUAGCUUUCAAACAAAUACCCUAGUCUUUGUUCUUGCCAUUGUUUACAGGAUCACAAGUGUUUGUACCUUGGAAUUUGAUGAUUGUACACAAUAUAUUGGCAUAGGAUACCUGAUACGUGCUGGUUUCGUCUUCUGAGGUAUCCGGUGCUAUUGAGCUCAUCAUGAUUUGGCUUUGCACAGCUCAAUUUUUUUCACUCACCAAACCACCCUUUUGGUGAAAUUAGACGACCUUCCAUUUUCCAUAUUUUUAGUACUCUUUCCGGUAUAACUCAAAAGGGCAAUCAAACAUGUUCUCUCUUGAGCUGAAUAGUUGUUGCUUUGCAUGGCAUCUCUUGUGGGUAUGUGAUUGAAGAGGUACUUAUUGGUGUUCUUUCUAUCUCUAAAAGCUAACUAAUGCUUGCAGCCAUGACAUGUUUCUAAGCUUUUGAGCUGAUUCAUGUUUUGAGUUGAGUUUCUUUCCCAUCUCUCACCGGACCACCCUUUUCGUGAUAUUACACAUGCACUUCCUCUUUUCUUGUUAUUAUUACUCACUCUACUUUGUUUAAUACAAUGAGGAUUUGGAGGUUUUCAUCUAUUGAUGUUCAAUCAAACAUAUCUCAUGUCGAACUAAGAAACUGUUGCUUGGCACGGCACUUCAGGCAGGUCUAUGAGAUUUUGGGAAAUGUUCCUUUUUUUGGAUUGCAUGCAUUACUCAACUUAUAGGCUGUUUGACGGUUUUGUUCAUUAAUAUCUUACUAAUAUAUUUUUUUUAUAGAUGUUCUUUAUUUAUUAUUUUGUGGUUUUACUUGUAAUUGGGAGAACUGGUAUGACUGUACACAACACAAAACAUUAACGCUUACAUUUUAUUUUAGUUUUAUUGCAAGAUGUUUAUGUAUAUCACGUUCCUGGUACUUCAUUUCCUAUAAAAUACUUCAUUUACCUGUACCGUGUCUAAAAAAAAAAUAGGGAAGGGCCGGAGGGGUGGACACACACUCAGAUACAUACAAAGAGAGAUGAAAUAUAGUUUUUGUUGCUCACUAAUGUAUGUAGAAUGAAGUAUGGUUGGGACAUACAUUUUGGUGCGUAGGUACUUCUAGCCCAGCUUAUGGAGAGAAUAUGUGCCUGUUUCUUUCAUCUUCUGUUACGUUUCCUUUUUUGUCUGGCCAUUUUAUCUUAUGGUUUUGAAUGCUUGCUUUACACCCGUGACGUUGAAAAUACACCAUUCAGAUGAUAUGCAUGCUCUCCCAGCAAGCUUUGAUUGAAAAGGAGAGGCUCUAAGCUCUUAGAUUUCUAACGUUUCUUUAUUGGAAACUGGUAGUUAAACUCACGGGAGGCCAAAUGGGUAUUGUAAGGUUUUAAAGGUACAAUUCUUUUGAGUUCUAGUUUCAGUAUCCAUUAGGAUAUGUAUGAAACUACUAACUUGGCCUUUGUUCUUGCCAUUCUUUACAAGAUGACAGCAAGUGUUUAUACCGUGAUUAUUGUAGACAAAAUAAUUGUACAACAGGUAAUCUGCAUAUAAGACUACCUGAUACAUGAGUUGACGUUGUUUACUGAUAAAGGAAAUUUCUAGGGAUUUCUCUUUGCAGUCAUUGUUCGUGAUGCUAUUACAACCAACCAGUUCGAAGGAAGCAAAUGUACUCGAAGUACUUCUAGUUUCUGCCAAACAAAUAUAAAAUAUUAUAUUACACACAGUACUUUCUAAAGCUGUACUAUUUCUUGAUUGAUCUUUUUGUUUGCAUAUAUAAUCUGAAAGGCCAAAGAGUGUGUUGCAUUCUAUGAAAGAGUCUCUGCUAAGAAUCACCUCUGUGCUUUCCAAUGUCUCCUUCAAAAUUUCCAUUUUUGUUAUUUUUAGUACUCUUUCCGGCAUAACUCAAAGUGGCGAUCAAACAUGUUCUCUAUUGAGCUGACAAACUUGUGCUUGUUAUGACAUCUCAUGUCGGUCUGUGAUACUUUGGAGAAAGUUUCAUUUUAUGGUGUUUAUUCUCAGUAUUAGAAGGUUGUGGCUAAAUGAUGCUUACAGCCAUGAAAGCUUCUAUGCUUUUGAGCUGAUUCAUGUUUUGACCUGACAAUGUUCAGUUCCUUUCCCACCCCUCAUUAAAUCACCCUUUUCGUGAUAUUGCACAUGCACUCCCUGUUUUGUUGUUCUUAGUACUCACUCUGCUCCGUUUUAUAUACAUUGAAGAUUUAGAGGUUUUCAUCUGUCGAUGUUCAAUCAAACAUAUUGCCUGUCCGGAUAAAGAAUUGUUGCUUGGCGCGACACUUCAAGUGGGUCUAUGAGAUAUUUUGAGAAGUUCCAUUUUUUGGUCUUUCUUCUCUGUCUCAUAGGCAAACUGAUGCUUGCAGCCAUGCUGGGUUUCAAAAAUUUUGAGCUAAUCAUGUUUGGGCAUCGCAAAUUCAAUUCAUUUGUCGGUAAAUCACCCUUUUUGUGGAACUACACAACCUUCUACUUUUUUUGUUCUUAUAUUUCUCUCUUGUAUAACUGAAGAAAAAUCAAUUUAGCAUGUUCUCUCUUGAGCUGAAAACUGUUGAUUGGCAUGGCAGCUCAGGUGGCUAUAUUAGAUUUAGGAGAAAGUUUCAUUUCAUGGUGCAUCUUCUCCGUUUCUUAAGGCUUACUGAGCCAUGACAGACCGAUGCUCGCAGCCAUUCUAGGUGUCAAAGCUUUUGAGCUAAUCAUGUUUGGGUGUCACAAAGUUCAAUAUUUUUGUCGCUAAAUCAUCCUUUUUUUGAAACUACACAACCAUCUACUUUCUUGUUCUUAUUACUCUAUUGUAUUACUCAAACAAGGCAAUUUAAUAUCUCUCUUGAGCUGAAAUACUGUUGCAUGGCAUCACACCUCAUGUGGGUCAUGAGAUUUUGGGAGAAAGUUCCAUUUCAUGAUGCAUCUUCUUUGUAUCAUAAGGCUAUAACUGAUGCUUGUAGCCAUGACAGAUUUUAAAGCAUUUGAGUUGGUUUGUGUUUUGGCUUAGCAAAAUUCAGUUUCCUCCCCCGCUCCCCCAAACCACACUUUUCGUGAAAUCACACAUGACCUUCCUCUUUUUUUUUUAAAAAAAAAUUAUUCUCUCUGCUCCGUUUAUAAACCAUGAGGAUGUGGAGGUUGUCUUCCGUGGAAUUUCAAUAAUUCUUGUUUUCUCUCGAGCCCAUUAAAUGAUGCUUGACACCACUCCUCAGGUGGGUCUAUGAGAUUUUUGAAUUAAAUUUCCAUUUUAUGGUGUUUCUUCACCAUCUCAGACGGCGAGUUGAUGCUUGUUGGCACGACAGAUUUCAAUGCUUAUAAGCUAAUUGUGUUUGGGUUCGCGAAGUUAAUUUUUUUCUCUUACCAAAUCACCCUUUUGGUGAAAUGGCUCACGUCCUUCCAUUUUUCCAAUUUUUAGUACUCUUUCCGGUAUAACUCAAAAGGGCAAUCAUUUGAGCUGAAAAACUAUUGCUUGGCAUGGCAUCACAUCGGGAUUUGUGAGACUUUUGAAGAAGUAUUAUUUCUUGGUGUUUUUUCUGUCUCUCAAGGUUAACUAAUGCUUGCAGCCAUGACAUGUUUCAAUACUUUUGAGUUAAGUUUAUUUCCCAUCCCUCACCGAAAAACCCUUCUUAUUGCACAUGCACUUCCUCUUUUCUUGUUCUUAGUACUCAGUCUGCUCCAUUAUGUACACAAUGAGGAUUUGGAGGUGUUCAUCCAUAAAUGUUCAAUCAAACAUGUCUCGUGACGAAGUAAAGAACUGUUGCUUGGCACAACACUUCGGGCAGGUGUAUGAGAUUUUGGGAAAUGUUCCAUUUUUUGGUCUUUCUUCUCGGUCUCAUAGGCAAACUGGUGCUUGCAGCCAAGCUGGGUUUCGAAGUAUUUGAGCUAAUCAUGUUUGGGCGUCGCAAAGUUCAAUUUAUUUUGUCGGUAAAUCACCCUUUUUGAGAAAUUACACGACCUUCUAUUUUUCUUGUUCUUAUAUUACUAUCUCUUGUGUAACUCAAACAAGUAAUUUAGCAUGUUCUCUUUUGAGCUGUAAAUCAGUUAAUUGGUGGCAGCUCAGGUGGGUAGAUCAGAUUUAGGAUAAGGUUCCAUUUCAUGGUGCAUUUCUCUGUCUCGUGAGGCUGUCUGAUAUUUAGGAGAAAGAGAGCUGCAGCAGCACAUUUUAGAACUCACCACCUCAAAUACACUGAUCGCCUGUUUUCCUCCCAGAGCCUUCACAGGAUCAGCUCUUAAGAUGCCCAAUUCUAGCCAUCUUUUUAAGAAAAAGAUUUAGAACUUGGUAUCAAGAAAGAAACCUAAACACAUUUUCCCCUGUUCUUAUCUGCUGGAAAAUUCUUGCAAGCCUUUUUUAGAAAAAAUCAAGAAUUUUUCAGGAACUUGGUAUCAAGAACUUUGCUUUUUGAAGUUACAUUGGUAUUCAAAAAUACAUAUUUUCAGGUAAUCAAGAAUUUUUGCAUGAAUGUUCUUUAAAAAAUUCUUGAAUUUGUUGGCAUAUUUUAAGGAUAUUGUAGUUUUCAAGAAUAUAUUGGCAUUGCACAUACAAGAAAUCCUUUUUGAAAAUAUUAUGUUGUUAUUCUUGCAAUGUGUGUUAGGGAUGUUCAAGAUUUUUUUUUUACCUUUUUAGUGAGAUUGGUAGCAUUAAGUGAAUACCUCAGGCUAUUUGGAGCUUCACCCAGUUUCCAUCAGGUAUAUGUUGCUAUAGGCAUUGGUACCUGCUAUGGUAUGGUGGAUUAGGCAAUGGCAACUGUUAGUUUUUUCGACAUUGAUCUAAUGCACUUUGAUGUGCAGUAAGUUCUGUUCAAUUUAUUAUAUAAUAUCAUCUGCUGUAUUUUCUUCAUGGUCUCCUUCUUUGUACCUGAAUUUGUUGUACUUGUGUCGAGGGUCUUCCGAAAACAACCUCUUUUGCUACACGAGGAAGUUGUAAGGUCUGCGUAGAUACUCCCUCCUAGACGCCUACUUGUGGAAUUUUACGGGAACAAAAGUGAGCCCUAAUAUGGUGGAGACAAGUAUUAGAGAAGGACGGGUCCUCAAUCCUGCCAUAAGGAAUAUGAAUGUUGAAGAGAAUAAGCUUAUGGUGGCUAGUUGAUUCUUAAUGUUACUUGUAAGAUUGGGGCCCCAUCCUUGUCUUUAUUGAGAUAUACCUGUGAAUUAUGAGAUCAGGAAAAAGAGGUGCAGGCCCAGAGUUGCAAAGCGAAAGUGAACUUCCUUUCCCGCAGCCAAAGAAACUGGCUGGAUAGUGCACUGUCAGGAGAGAGAUUUGAUCUUCACAGAAUAUUAUGUGGGGAAGUGCUUCUGAAAAGCAUGAUCCCAAGUCCAAAUUCCCCUUGUCAGAUCAAAAGUUCAAGUCGGUCAAUCGAUAGCUCUCUUGCUCAUUGCAGAGUCUGUAUCCAGAAGCUCUGUGCAACCCCUUUCAUCUAUACAGAGGAUGAUUUCCUGGAUAAAGAAAAUUCAUUGCUGCAGAUAGAUCCAAACAGUUAUAGCUUACAGAUCAAGCUUCAUUUAUGCGAUCAAGGAGAGGUUGCUGCAUUAGAGAAGGAAACCAUUUAUGCGAAUCCCUAUGCACAGAAGUCUGACCCCUGAUGGAUCAUCCUUUGAUGGUGAUGAAGAUACUAAGUUUGAAAAAUGUCUCCUGGAUUGUUAGAAACUUCUCCAACUCAGAUCAAGGUAUUGCACGGGGACUGGGAGGCAUAAUAAUCGUGACACAUGCAAGUUGACCUGAACAUCACCCUCGGAAUUUUUAUUUUUUAUUUUUUUGCAGAGAGAGAGACAAGGCAGGUUUGGUUGAUUUGCAUCAUAUUUUAGAUUCCUGCUGCUCUGUUUUGGUAGGAUCAACUUGUUCAGGUUUUUCUACUCUUUUUGCCUUUUGGUGAUGUAGUUUCUACUUUCACGUUUUCCUGAUUUAAUUGGCUUUUGAUGAACUCUAACUGAGCUUAGGAGGUUGAUGACCAACUUACAAAAAAUUUAUAAUGUAUUCUCAUAGUAUUUGUUGAUGAAGUCCUAAUUAAAUUCGUCCAACGAAUGGGAAUUACACCCCGAUUAUUAAAUGUUGUUUUGAUCUAUUCAAUUCGAUGGGGGAACUUUAGGAGUUCUUCAUUUUGCUUUUAAGUGCUAUAUUGUGGACUCUUUGUUGACAUUAAGAAGGGAAGAGCAUAAACUCAAUAUGUUUUGUUAAACGGUAGCCUCUUCCAAUAUUUGCCUUUUCUCUUUUUCUUUGAUCCUUUUUUCGAUGUUGACAGUAGUAAAAUCAUCCUUCUCCCUCAAGAAUUGGAGCUUGAGGUGCUACUACCACAUUCCAACACUUACAUUAUCAAACUUUUUCAGAAUCUUUGCAUUCAUAAUCUAGAUCAGAAGUACUCGAGUCUUGAACUUGUUGCUUAUAAUUCAAAUAUCUGAUUUCAAUAGUAGGUUUAAUACAUGGAUAUAGAAGCCAACCAACUGAAGAAAAUUAAACGUGUGUGGCUGUGUUUGUUUGUAAAAUAUCACCUACAGUAGUAUCUGAUGGAUGUUUUGGACACUACUUUGGUUAUGGUAUGGAGUACCUGAGGGGCUUUGCAGCUUUGUGGGGUUCUUUGAGUGAUUCAGGGAUACACAAUUUCACUCCUAUUCAUCUGUUCAUUCCAAUUGCCUAAAACUCUUGUAAAUAUACUUACAAAUUCAAAUUCUGUAGUUCCUUGACUUCAAAUAUGUUCUCUUUGAAGCAUUAUUCGAGAUCAAUAAUCUCAUUUGUUGAGUUUAUCUGUAUUUCUUCUUCAGAUUGUAAGUGUACCUGAAGAGCACGGAAACAUCCACGUGGCAAUACUAUUUACGUAUACUGAAUCUAUUUAGUGCCUAUUUUAAUCUGCAUUAUCUUUUUACAAAUUGCUGGCUAACAAUUUUGUGGGAAAAAUACUUUAACACUUGCUAUUUUGAUGGUAAUAUAGUUUAGUGCUUUUUAGAAUCAAUUGGAUUUAGUUGGGAGUGGAAAACAAAUCUCUACGAGGAAAGAAUGUUUGACCAAGGAAAAUCAUAUGUUAGGCACUGACCUAUUCAACAACAAGAAACAGAACGUCUUCAGCUAGACUACACUUAUGUUGGGAGGGGGAGGUCAAGUGAUGAUCUCACUGCAUAUGGACUCAUAUCUGAAUUUUUGAGGUGGUUUCCAGUUUUAGUGAGUUUAUCUUUACUGAUGAGUAUCAUCUUGUUCAGGUUUGUCUACUGUUUUUGCCUUUUUGCGUUGUAGUUUCUAGUUUCACAUUUAGAUGAUUUAAUCGGCUUUUUUGGAACUCCAACUGUGCUUAGGAGGUUGAUUACCAACCUUAAAAUAGUCAUAUCAUGAUGAAUCCUCAUAGUAAUUGUUGAGAUGAUGUCCUAAUGAAAUUGUCCCAACAAGAGUGAAAUACACCUGACUUUUAAAUGUGGUUUCGAACGAUGAUUGGAUGGGGAACUUUAGGAGUGAACUGUGCUUUAGGUGCUAUCGUGGACUCUUAGCUGCUGACAUUAAGAAGGGAAGUAAACUCACUAUGUUCUGUUAAAGGUCAACUUACAGUUCACCGAAAAUGCACUUUGAGUUGUUGUUGAGACCAAAAGCACUGGUGCACGAGGCUCAAGAUCUAUAUUAGAAAGUAUUGUGACUGAAGCCAUGUUUGAGGGAUUGAAUGGCACCACAACUUUUUGUGUUUGGCGUUAAUUCUGGAAGAGCUUGGAAAAAUAUUUCACCCAUUUUACUCUUAUCACAUUGAGGCUACUAAAGGGAGGAGAUAUGUCACCAUUUAUUUGAGAGUUUGAACUACCUGCAUUUCAAUGUUACUUUCAAAAUUUUACUUGAGCACCCCAUGAGUGUUGAUAUAGCCAUCUUUUGAAGAACUUAGCCUAAAAUGAAACUAAACAUGACUUUUACCUGCCUUUCGAAAUGUGCCUAAAUAUUGAUUUCAAAGGCUCGUAUUCAUUGUCAAGCAUGGUUUCUCUUUUGUGAUUUGGUUCACUUUUGCACUAUCAGCAGCAUAGUUACUCAAUUAUAAACUUUUGGUGUUCACGUUUGUUUGCAGGAUGCUGACUUAAAUGUAGAAGCAACUCAGCAAGGGGUUGUCUACAUAGAUGAAGUUGAUAAAUAGCCAAAAAGUUCAAAAACUAUUAUCUACAUGGAUAUGGAUAAUCGACUUUGAAUUCAUCCUUAUAAUUAGUCACCUGUUUAGGCUGAGAGCCUUAACAUUUGCAGAGAUGUAUCUGAGGAGGAUGUUCAACAGGCGCUGCUGAAGAUGCUUGAAGGAACUAUUGUAAGUGUACCUGACAAUAGAGCAUAGAAGAUUCCACGUGGCGAUACUAUUCAGAAAACAGUUCCUACGAGAGAAGAAUGUUUGGCCAAGGAAAAUCAGAUGUCAGACACAGACACUGACCUAUUCAACAAAGAAGAAACAACACUUCUUCAGCUAAACUAUAUGUUGGGAGUGGGAAGUCAAGUCAAAUACUGGUUUAUAUUCGUUGUAACAAUUAUCUACCAAGGCUGUGAAGUUGUACUCGUGCUGUUCCUGUCUUGGGACUAGGAGCUUCUUAUUGACCCUACUAAAGUGGUUGUAGUCUUUUUCAUAUUAUAGAGCUUGUUGCAUAAUCAACAUCGGCCUGCGAAAUAUUUCAUUUUCCUUCUUAAAUGGUUUAACCUUUUCCCAUUUGUUGUUU
Molecule: long non-coding RNA, 11510 nt
Organism: Solanum pennellii
Lineage: Eukaryota; Viridiplantae; Streptophyta; Magnoliopsida; Solanales; Solanaceae
Exons: 13
Source: RefSeq, a predicted model, not a curated record